CACAGACCAGACAUCUUAUGUUUAUUACUGAAUUGGGAGAAUAAAAAAAAACAGUUUUCUCUUAAAAUCCCAUCUAUAGUUAUGGAAUAGAAUGGUAGCAAUGUAAUUGGCCUGAGAGAAAUAGAUGUUGAAUGCAGGGCUCCCUUUAAAUGGAACUUCUACCUUUGCAGGUAACCCAGAAGGUGGCUGCUUAAACAGCAGUUCUGCAAUGCAAUGCACUGUUCUGUAUCAGUUGUAUUAUAAAGAGGAACAAUCCCAAAAUCCGGUUCAACUGAGUUUCCAUCAACACACUACAGACUGCCAUUUGUGCAGCCCAAGGUUUGACAUGGCAUGCACAUAAGUUAACCGCAUGGAGACAUCAUCAUGACUGAAAUAAACAGUGGUUGUCUAGACAGAGACAGUGAUAAAUUCCAGAAGAUUAUCUACAGCCUGCAGAUACAAGUACCUCCAUUGUUUAUUUUUGGAAGCUGUAAUGAGCAGGCAUUAGCUUGCUCACCAGAGACAUAUUUAAGAAUUAUUCACCUGUUUCUAUGAAUUUCAUCAUAUUCUGAUAGCAGCAGAAAAUAUGCUGGGAAUGAGUAAGUAUACAAUUUGUUUGGAGUAUUUCACUGAUUUUACUGCUGCACAUGUAGUCAUUAGAAUUAUAUGGCAUUUAGGGUAAGGAAAUCAAAUACAAACCUGUACAGUAAAGGAGGCUAUAUAUACCAACAAAAUAGACCCUGGCUAUCAUGGCAAAUUUUGGAUAGUUUUUGUUUGCUAAAAUGCAUCUCAUCACAAAAUGUAAACAUUUUUUUUUGUAAAGACAGCCUCAUAUGUACAAUACAAUACUACAGUAUGCACUUUUUUAAAGCCAAGUGUACACGAGAUAGAUGGUAACUGACAUUAAUCCUGGUGGGAACAAAGGGUUCGAGCUUGUUGAUUCCCUUCUUCCCGCUUUGCUUUCCAUGAACAUUCCACUAUACUAACAUAUACAAUAAACUCAGUAAUAUGCAUUAAAUUAUUUUUCUUUUGGAUCUAAUCCAAAAAUAUCCUUACAGAAGCAUUUCAGUUUAUUGGGGUUGUUUUUGGCUAUGCAUUGCUAACAUCAGUAUUCCUCAAGUGUCAUCUGUUUCAUCUCAGCCUUGCUGCAUCCAUAUUUAAUUACUGCAGCUUGGUCAGGUGAGCUCCAGUCUGACAAUUAGUAUGAAAGUCAAAUGCUGUAAUAUGUAGACAGAAAGUCAGUCUCUCCAGUGUGGCUGACUUCCUGUGAAUCACAGGAUUACUUAAUCACUAAUGAGAUCCCUCUUGGAAGCUCAGAGUUCUCCCCUCCCAGUUCCACCCUAUUCGUUCUAUUUGUUCCUCUGUGUGUCUCCACAUGCACAGAGUGCUGCUGAAGAUACAAUUUCUGCCCUCUCAAGAGACUAGAAAAGCAGUGACAGUAGGUAAGGCUAUACAGUGAUUAGUUGCAGAGUUAUACACCUUCCCUGAUCACACUGUCUCUGUUUGCCGAUUCUCUAGUAUUUCCUCUGAGAUGGUGCCUAUAAAAUGCUCUCCUGUGAUCUUCAGUAACAUCUUCUGUUAGGGUAUGUUCACUCUGAGGAAUUGGAGAGGAAUUUCCACAAGUAAUUCUGCUCGCUUUUUCCUCUCCAAAUUCAGCAGUGAAAACCCCA
Molecule: long non-coding RNA, 1649 nt
Organism: Hyla sarda
Lineage: Eukaryota; Metazoa; Chordata; Amphibia; Anura; Hylidae
Exons: 3
Source: RefSeq, a predicted model, not a curated record